UAGGGAAUCUUCCGCAAUGGACGAAAGUCUGACGGAGCAACGCCGCGUGAGUGAAGAAGGAUUUCGGUUCGUAAAACUCUGUUGUUAGGGAAGAAAAAAUGUAUAGUAACUAUAUACAAAAGAGACGGUACCUAACCAGAAAGCCACGGCUAACUACGUGCCAGCAGCCGCGGUAAUACGUAGGUGGCAAGCGUUGUCCGGAAUUAUUGGGCGUAAAGCGCGCGCAGGUGGUUUAGAAAGUCUGAUGUGAAAGCCCACGGCUCAACCGUGGAGGGUCAUUGGAAACUAAUAAACUUGAGAGCAGGAGAGAAAAGUGGAAUUCCUAGUGUAGCGGUGAAAUGCGUAGAGAUUAGGAGGAACACCGGUGGCGAAAGCGGCUUUUUGGACUGAAACUGACACUGAGGCGCGAAAGCGUGGGGAGCAAACAGG
This 429-nucleotide ribosomal RNA is filed under the name Verrucomicrobiota bacterium. RNAcentral describes it as "Verrucomicrobia bacterium partial 16S ribosomal RNA". It matches the Rfam family "Bacterial small subunit ribosomal RNA", at positions 355 to 776 of the family's 1533-position model. The record is from RNAcentral. Lineage: Bacteria; Pseudomonadati; Verrucomicrobiota.